RNAcentral lists this ribosomal RNA (916 nucleotides) under uncultured archaeon. RNAcentral describes it as "bacterial SSU rRNA". It matches the Rfam family "Archaeal small subunit ribosomal RNA", at positions 32 to 922 of the family's 1478-position model. The record is from RNAcentral.
CCCGGGGGGGUGGGCUAGACAUGCGUGUCGAACGACCCCAAGCCAACAUGAGGUCGUGGCAUACGGCUCAGUAACACGUGGCUAACCUACCCUCGAGACAGGGACAACCCCGGGAAACUGGGGCUAAUCCCAGAUAGAUGAGAACCCCUGGAAUGGGUUUUCGUCCAAAAGGCACUGCGGUUAUGCUCUGCGGUGUCGCUCAAGGAUGGGGCCGCGUCCGAUCAGGCUGUUGGUGAGGUAAUGGCUCACCAAACCUAUAACCGGUACGGGCCGUGGGAGCGGGAGCCCGGAGAUGGGAACUGAGACAAGGUCCCAGGCCCUACGGGGCGCAGCAGUUACGAAAACUUGUCAAUGCACGAAAGUGUGAACGGGCUACCCCGAGUGCCGUCCGCUGAGGAUGGCUUUUCUCUGCUUUAAGAAGGCAGAGGAAUAAGGCGAGGGCAAGUCUGGUGUCAGCCGCCGCGGUAAUACCAGCUCGCCGAGUGGUAGGGAUGAUUAUUGGGCCUGAAGCGUCCGUAGCUGGCCUUUCAAGUCUCUUGUUAAAUCCAGCGAUUCAAUCGUUGGACUGCAGGAGAUACUGCAAGGCUAGGAGGCGAGAGAAGCCGACGGUAUUUUCGGGGUAGGGGUAAAAUCCUAUAAUCCCGAGAAGACCACCAGUGGCGAAGGCGGUCGGCUAGCGCGCGCUCAACAGUGAGGGACGAAAGCUGGGGGAGCGAACCGGAUUAGAUACCCGGGUAGUCCCAGCUAUAAACGAUGCUGGCUAGGUGUUGAAGCGGCCACGAGCCGCUUCAGUGCCGCAGGGAAGCCAUUAAGCCAGCCGCCUGGGGAGUACGGCCGCAAGGCUGAAACUUAAAGGAAUUGGCGGGGGAGCACCACAAGGGGUGAAGCUUGCGGUUUAAUUGGAGUCAACGCCGGG